Molecule: transfer RNA, 66 nt
Filed under: Actinobaculum massiliense
Lineage: Bacteria; Bacillati; Actinomycetota; Actinomycetes; Actinomycetales; Actinomycetaceae
Also listed under: 1 other name
Rfam family: tRNA
About the family: Transfer RNA (tRNA) molecules are approximately 80 nucleotides in length.
Source: RNAcentral
GUAGUGGCGCAAUUGGUAGCGCAUCGGUCUCCAAAACCGACGGUUGGGGGUUCGAGUCCCUCCUAC